UUUGUUUUGUACUGGAUGCCGCGUAUGUGUUGGUUCUUUUUCAUUAAAACAUGGAUUACGUCUGUCUCUGUGCCCUACCACCAACACAAUCGUGACAGUAAAUCUAUUAAAUGUCGGCAGUAGAGCUAUUAACCUUCAGCAGUAGAGCUGUUAACCGUCGGCGGAGAAGCGGAAAGCGUCGUUCAAAUAUCGAUGGAAGGGAAAAAUUGACGUCUACUUGACAUCUUGCCAAUGAGCAGCCGAUGUCUUUACUGCAUUCCGCCGACAUCUCGUGUGUAUGUCGGCCCGACAUCGGUAAGACGAAUGUGUGUUAUCUGGGGACCACUUCCUCUGGUUUUACCAGAGUCCUCUGCCGUACGAUCAGCCUUGAAGACGUCGUGCCCCUCUAGACAAAUUGCUUCGUCAGUGACCCUACGUUAGCAAGGAAAAGGCUUGGUAGUGAAAGCUGAUGGGGGCUUGCUGUAGCCUAGCCCAGAGGCCACCCCGCUUCCCUCGCCUUUGUUCACGAUCUCGACGCCACCUCCAGGAACUUCCUGUCAGCAAUGUGAAUUGCCUCUCCUGGGGCGUCUUUGCGAUCUCCAGUGGAAGUGAAACUGUGUGCAUUGUGUUCCAAUAUUUAGGAGUUCUCGGGUAUAGUGUAUGUCAGGCUGUAUUUAGUGAAUAAACUAAGAACUAUUAAGUUACUUACUGCUAAUUUGCUAAAUCUAGGUAGACCCUGAGCCUAUAGUGCUUGUGUGCCGCCUUCUUGGUCUUUGGGCUUGAGUUCAGCAGGCUAAAUUCAAAGUAUUGUAGUUGGAUGACCAGUUAUGACAGUUACAUUUUUGUGCAGGUUUGUUUGUACUGUAUGCCUGCUAUGAAAAAAAUACCUGCAUACCAUUUUGACUACUGUCCAGUAGUAUGGACAUGUACAACAAAGAUCCAGUAAGGCUGCAGCUGGCUGAAAACAGAACAGAAUUUCUUGCCAUUAAUUUGCCUUAAGGCUCUGAUAACAUACAAAGUUCCAGGUUUAUUCAUCACAUGCACAGAGUAAGUGUCAUUCUGAACAAUAAAAUUAUUGUGACAUGGCACACAUCUAUGUAGAAG
Long non-coding RNA from Esox lucius (northern pike), 1083 nucleotides. The record is from Ensembl. Lineage: Eukaryota; Metazoa; Chordata; Actinopteri; Esociformes; Esocidae.